UACGAAGGGGGCUAGCGUUGCUCGGAAUUACUGGGCGUAAAGAGCUCGUAGGCGGUUUGUCGCGUCUGCUGUGAAAACUCGGGGCUUAACCCCGGGCCUGCAGUGGGUACGGGCAGACUAGAGUGCGGUAGGGGAGACUGGAAUUCCUGGUGUAGCGGUGAAAUGCGCAGAUAUCAGGAGGAACACCGGUGGCGAAGGCGGGUCUCUGGGCCGUAACUGACGCUGAGGAGCGAAAGCGUGGGGAGCGAACAGG
Molecule: ribosomal RNA, 253 nt
Filed under: uncultured bacterium
Lineage: Bacteria
Description: partial 16S ribosomal RNA
Rfam family: Bacterial small subunit ribosomal RNA
Source: RNAcentral